GACGAACCGUGCGAACGUUGUUCGGAAUCACUGGGCUUAAAGGGCGCGUAGGCGGGCUGUCAAGUCAGGGGUGAAAUCUUUCGGCUCAACCGGAAAACUGCCUUUGAUACUGACAACCUUGAGGAAGGUAGGGGCAUGUGGAACUUCCGGUGGAGCGGUGAAAUGCGUAGAUAUCGGAAGGAACACCGGUGGCGAAAGCGACGUGCUGGACCUUUUCUGACGCUGAGGCGCGAAAGCCAGGGGAGCAAACGGG
This 253-nucleotide ribosomal RNA is filed under the name uncultured bacterium. RNAcentral describes it as "partial 16S ribosomal RNA". It matches the Rfam family "Bacterial small subunit ribosomal RNA", at positions 524 to 776 of the family's 1533-position model. The record is from RNAcentral.